Molecule: ribosomal RNA, 554 nt
Filed under: uncultured bacterium
Lineage: Bacteria
Description: bacterial SSU rRNA
Rfam family: Bacterial small subunit ribosomal RNA
Source: RNAcentral
ACGGGUGAGUAACACGUAGGUAACCUACCCUUCAGUGGGGGACAACAGAGGGAAACUUCUGCUAAUACCGCAUACGAUCACGGACUGGGAUGUUCGCGGUGAAAGGAUUUAUUCGCUGAGGGAUGGGCCUGCGGCCUAUCAGGUAGUUGGUGGGGUAAUGGCCUACCAAGCCUGCGACGGGUAGCCGGACUGAGAGGUCGAUCGGCCACACUGGAACUGAGACACGGUCCAGACUCCUACGGGAGGCAGCAGUGGGGAAUAUUGCACAAUGGGGGAAACCCUGAUGCAGCGACGCCGCGUGGAGGAUGACGGCCUUCGGGUUGUAAACUCCUUUUGUCGGGGACAAUGGUGAUGGUACCCGACGAAUAAGCCACGGCUAACUCUGUGCCAGCAGCCGCGGUAAGACAGAGGUGGCGAGCGUUGUUCGGAAUUACUGGGCUUAAAGGGCGCGUAGGCGGUGGUGUAAGUCUAGGGUGGAAUGCUACAGCUCAACUGUAGAGCUGCCUUGGAAACUGCAUUACUUGAGUCGGUGAGGGGAAGGUGGAAUUCCAGGU